RNAcentral lists this ribosomal RNA (632 nucleotides) under bacterium. Its description in RNAcentral is "bacterial SSU rRNA". It matches the Rfam family "Bacterial small subunit ribosomal RNA", at positions 73 to 684 of the family's 1533-position model. The record is from RNAcentral.
CCGGAGCUUGCUCCACCGGAAAAAGAGGAGUGGCGAACGGGUGAGUAACACGUGGGUAACCUGCCCAUCAGAAGGGGAUAACACUUGGAAACAGGUGCUAAUACCGUAUAACAAUCGAAACCGCAUGGUUUUGAUUUGAAAGGCGCUUUCGGGUGUCGCUGAUGGAUGGACCCGCGGUGCAUUAGCUAGUUGGUGAGGUAACGGCUCACCAAGGCGACGAUGCAUAGCCGACCUGAGAGGGUGAUCGGCCACAUUGGGACUGAGACACGGCCCAAACUCCUACGGGAGGCAGCAGUAGGGAAUCUUCGGCAAUGGACGAAAGUCUGACCGAGCAACGCCGCGUGAGUGAAGAAGGUUUUCGGAUCGUAAAACUCUGUUGUUAGAGAAGAACAAGGAUGAGAGUAACUGUUCAUCCCUUGACGGUAUCUAACCAGAAAGCCACGGCUAACUACGUGCCAGCAGCCGCGGUAAUACGUAGGUGGCAAGCGUUGUCCGGAUUUAUUGGGCGUAAAGCGAGCGCAGGCGGUUUCUUAAGUCUGAUGUGAAAGCCCCCGGCUCAACCGGGGAGGGUCAUUGGAAACUGGGAGACUUGAGUGCAGAAGAGGAGAGUGGAAUUCCACUUUAUGAGGCGG